ACAGCCCAGACCACCAGCUAAGGUCCCAAAAUAUAUGUUAAGUGGAAAAGGAUGUGGCGUUGCCCAGACAACUAGGAUGUUGGCUUAGAAGCAGCCAUCAUUUAAAGAGUGCGUAAUAGCUCACUAGUCGAGUGACACUGCGCCGAAAAUGUACCGGGGCUAAACAUAUUACCGAAGCUGUGGAUUGUCCUUUGGACAAUGGUAGGAGAGCGUUCUAAGGGCGUUGAAGCAUGAUCGUAAGGACAUGUGGAGCGCUUAGAAGUGAGAAUGCCGGUGUGAGUAGCGAAAGACGGGUGAGAAUCCCGUCCACCGAUUGACUAAGGUUUCCAGAGGAAGGCUCGUCCGCUCUGGGUUAGUCGGGUCCUAAGCUGAGGCCGACAGGCGUAGGCGAUGGAUAACAGGUUGAUAUUCCUGUACCACCUAUAAUCGUUUUAAUCGAUGGGGGGACGCAGUAGGAUAGGCGAAGCGUGCGAUUGGAUUGCACGUCUAAGCAGUAAGGCUGAGUAUUAGGCAAAU
RNAcentral lists this ribosomal RNA (516 nucleotides) under Staphylococcus aureus. RNAcentral describes it as "partial 23S ribosomal RNA". It matches the Rfam family "Bacterial large subunit ribosomal RNA", at positions 1022 to 1541 of the family's 2925-position model. Lineage: Bacteria; Bacillati; Bacillota; Bacilli; Caryophanales; Staphylococcaceae. The record is from RNAcentral.